This is a long non-coding RNA of Cynoglossus semilaevis (tongue sole), 3958 nucleotides long. RefSeq lists it as uncharacterized. The transcript is spliced from 3 exons. The record is from RefSeq and is a predicted model, not a curated record. Lineage: Eukaryota; Metazoa; Chordata; Actinopteri; Pleuronectiformes; Cynoglossidae.
CUCUCUGCCUCACUCAUUGUCAUGUGUCCAUGCCUUGUGGUCCUUGGUCAUCGUCCUGGUUCCCAGUUCCUGCCUGGUCCUGCAUCUGCCAACGUUCAGUGAAGCGACAACGUCCCGGCACCUUGGUCCGCCGCACACGUCCUCGUUCGCCGCACACAGUAUUGGGGGGGGUGACGUGACACUUGACAACAAGCGAUCCCAUCACCACUGUGCCAAUCCCAGCAGAGAGAGCAGGGUCGUUGUUUUUUUUUUUCUCUCCAUUUAAUGUGUGGUCUAUUGAUUCAGCCCUUUCAAACCUUUAAAUAUUUCAAAAUAAUUCAAGGAUUUUCAAGGAUUUUCAUAAACCUACAUAGGUCCUUAAAUGCAACAACAUCCAGCUGUCAACGGCGUGAGUGGGACAGAGUACCCGCAGAAACAGCGCCCCCUUCCUACGUGUCUGCAUCAAACACUCACACAUGCUGUCCUUGGUAUGCAAACAGCAGAAUGAUGUAUCCCUCCUGUACCUGUGAGCCUUAUUUACGUUAAUCCAUCAGCCUGCCCCUCGAUGUCAGAGUGUCAUCUGAAAGUGGACUGGAGAAGGACUAAUAACUGUGUUGACUGACUGUAAGGUGACGCCAUGACAGACCCAUCCGAGGCGAGGGUUGCAGUUCCACCUAUUAAAGCUCACCACGACCUUGAGUCAAAUCAAAGAGCCCGAGUGUUGUACUGAGGACAGGCCUUGGACAGCAGUGGUCAACAAGAGCCGUUCUCUUGCAAUGGACACUAAAGCUGAAGCCAAAGCUUCGGUUUCCCUGAAACUCAGCUAAUGUUUCACAAAUGACUGAAGGCACUCAUUUCUCCAGAAGUAGAUUAAAAAUAAAGUCUGAUGUCUGCAGGCCAACAACACCAGUAAUUAGCCGUCAUCAUCAGAAUAUAUUGCUGCUUCGUGCUAAUUGUGGUUAGCCAGUUAACAGUCACCUUGUCCUUUAACUUCCACCUAUUAAACUCAUACCUCAUGUUUAAGCAGCAGUGGAUUUAGGCAUGUUGUCAGCAGUAGGUGGUUAGAAGGUCGCCGGUUCUAAUCCGGUUUUAGUCUUUUUGUAUGGAGUUUGCAUGUGGUUGGUCCACCUUCCAAAGACAUGUUCAAAGACAUGUAACCUGUAGGUUAGACACUAAACCAAGCACAGAAUGUUGCAAGAGUAGGACUGUGAUCUCUUCACAGUGACAUAAUCAUGACCAGAACAAAUAGUUUUUAAAGCAACGCUCAACUUUAUUUAACAAGCCACUGUCAAGAUGCACAAGACUUAUACUUAUACUUCAUCUUAAUUUAUUGUGGUUUAUUAUGUUCACGAUUAAUUGUGAUCAGUCAUGAUUAGUUGUGAUUAAUCACGAUUGAUUGUGGUCCAUCGUGAAGUUUCAGCCAACUCCUACCAACACAGUGCUUGAAAGAAGUGCUACACUUAUACUUUUGGAAAAGAGAAAGUAUCUAAAAGUCAAUAUGAUUCUGCCUAUACUGUAUGUGUCCCUGCUGUGCAAACUCCUAACUGUCUGCACUGGUACAUCUGAACAAUGCGGUUGAAUAUUGCUUUUCCUGUAUUUAUGAGUCAUGUAUCUACAGCAGAAUUGGACAAUGAACACAAAAUAGAGGAUAUUUCCUCCGUACACACUCUAAAGCUCUCAGUGCUGUGGACUGGUACGCAAUAAAAUGCCUGUGCCUUAUGAACAAACCCGGCUCUUCAAGCAUAUACACUGUGUAAUGCAACGCCUGGGUAAUAUAUUAUGACUAAAGAAAGUCUCAUUGGAAGAAUAACUGGAUUUUACCCCCAGUGUGAUGUCUCAAAGGGGAAUGGAGAAAGAUUAAUGCAGUAAAUAUAAAAGGGCUAUUUCUGGAUCUCCUGCACUGGUUAGUACCCAGUCAGUCUGGUUCCUGCUCUACAGUGUGAAGCACUAAAUGUGUUCACUUUACAUUGACAGUGCAGACUCCUGAUUGUUUCCCAGGUUUUUCACAGCAGGGAUUUCACAGUAGAUUUUUCUUUUGUGCCUUUCCUCACACUGAGUGCUUCACACUGAAGCAACAGGAACACUGGUCUUUUAGACGGAUCGCACUCGCCGCCAAAAGAUAGGAUCAAAUCUGCUCAGGUUAUCAGUUCCAGCACUCGGGGGACAAUGAUCUAUGUGAGACUCUCUUCCAACAACAUGCUGCAGAAAGUGGACAAAAAGGAUUGGAGCCGUUAUCCUUCAGACGUCUGUUGGACGAAUGGGAAAACAGUUUUUUUCUGCACUGAAUCAACCAAACAGGGCAACAUAUGCAUCAACCACCUUAACAACUGUUAACUGCCCCCUGCCCUGGGUUCUCAUGUCUUCAUCUCUGAGACCUUGUGUUGUCUCAGUCAACCUCAGCACCAGAAGUACAUUAUUACUAAAUAAAAUGUGGAGUCACUCGCUCCUAUGUGAUGGAAAUACACACAAAGAGUCUACUACAAAUAUUAUUAAUCUAAACUACUUUAGUCGUUAAUUAUCAAACCCUCCCUCUGUGAAUUUUUCAUCUCUAACGACAACCAUCUGUGAACCAACUGUCAUGGUUAUUUUUGGUUAUAGUUGUACAUUAUGGUGGGAAAGUCUAAAGUUCUAAAAGGAACUAAAUAAAAUCAAAUCUUUUAAUUCUGAAAUAUCUUCUCUCUACACAUCCUCUAAUUAGGUCUAGACUUCUGCAGGUGAUAUUUCCAUCACAGAAUUCUUUCUUUGUUUUUGGCACCAGGUCAGAACCUGUUUUGGGUCAUUAGAGCUUCACUUCUUUUCAAAUGUUUCUUUGAGCGUCAGGAAAAGCAGAAAUCAUUUCAAUCAGUUUUGUAACAUUUUGUUCUCUUCGAUUUGAUCUUUGUUAUUCAAACCUCAGGGACAGCGGCUCUUCUGCAGCUCUGCAGACGGACAGCUGGUGUUUUCCGAUUCUGUUCAUUUUAUUUACAAUUUUAUUGAGAUCUAUUCUCUGAUUACUUCCAUUCCAUCACUAUAUCUUCCAAGAACGAAACAAAAAAUACAAAGACGGAAAAGUUUCUCUGCUACAAUAGGGAACUGACUUCUCUCUCUCACUCAUCACUGUUGACGCCCGCUGUGAAACAUUGGACCUAAUGGUCUGACAUGCUUAACUUAUGUUGGCUCCUGUUCCUCUCACCUUUUCCUGCACUCUAGCUUUUAGUCUAACUCCUGUCUCUUAAGUUCACAGACCAGCCGUACCUGCAGUCUCGGGGAGGCAGCUCAGGAUGGACGAGUAGAUUUAAAGGUUUAACGAAGCUUUCCUGAAGCCAGGGCAGCAGCAGCAGCAGCAGCAGCAGCAGCAGCAGCACAGUCAGUAAUCUCCAAUGCCAAGUCACGGUUACUAAUCCUUAUUUUAGACGCUUUACAAUUCACCGGUGGUCAGUUUUCUCUAUUUCUGUUGGGAUUUAAACAUGUGGGUUUUUUUAUGUUCAUUUAAAUGGGAUGUUAGGGAAUCAGCAGCUGUUUGACUGGCUGGACGUUUUUAUUUCUUUUAGGCAUUUAUGGCUCAAAUUGCCCUUUUUGCAAUCAUGUUUGUGUCCAGGUUCGAUUCUACCUCGUACCCAAAAGCCUUGGACUUUUUCAGAAUUGGAAAUCCUGUUUCCUUUAUUUAUUUAUUUAUUAUCUGAACAAUUCACCAACAAAACAAACAGUAGCAAGUAUGACAAGCUAACAAGCUAUUAGCCCGCUCGUUCCCAUUAUUUUUAGGGCAGGAUAUGACAUGAGGAAUUCAUUAAAUGCACAAAAAUGUGAGCGGUUCCUACAUCCUGUCCUGGAGAACCAUCAUUCCUCCAAAAAACAAACAAACAACUAAACACUAAAUGUUUUGUGUCUUGGUUUAAUAGCAGGUCUCAACUAACGUUUUUAGAUGCAUACCGCCACCUAGUGUACUAUACUGUGUAGUCUCACGGUAUGACCAAUGACGAAAAUGUUGCUGCCUACUCUC